RNAcentral lists this ribosomal RNA (425 nucleotides) under uncultured bacterium. RNAcentral describes it as "partial 16S ribosomal RNA". It matches the Rfam family "Bacterial small subunit ribosomal RNA", at positions 354 to 796 of the family's 1533-position model. The record is from RNAcentral.
GUGGGGAAUAUUGGACAAUGGGCGCAAGCCUGAUCCAGCAAUGCCGCGUGGGUGAAGAAGGUCUUCGGAUCGUAAAGCCCUUUCGACAGGGACGAUGAUGACGGUACCUGUAGAAGAAGCCCCGGCUAACUUCGUGCCAGCAGCCGCGGUAAUACGAAGGGGGCUAGCGUUACUCGGAAUUACUGGGCGUAAAGGGCGCGUAGGCGGCUCUGUUAGUCAGGCGUGAAAUGCCUGGGCUUAACCUGGGGACUGCGCUUGAUACUGCAGGGCUUGAGGCCGAGAGAGGGUGGUGGAAUUCCCAGUGUAGAGGUGAAAUUCGUAGAUAUUGGGAAGAACACCGGUGGCGAAGGCGACCACCUGGACCAGCACUGACACUGAGGCACGAAAGCGUGGGGAGCAAACAGGAUUAGAUACCCUGGUAGUCC